CGGGUGAGUAACGCGUGAGGAACCUGCCUCAAAGAGGGGGACAACAAGUUGGAAACGACUGCUAAUACCGCAUAAGCCCACGGCUCGGCAUCGAGCAGAGGGAAAAGGAGUGAUCCGCUUUGAGAUGGCCUCGCGUCCGAUUAGCUAGUUGGUGAGGUAACGGCCCACCAAGGCGACGAUCGGUAGCCGGACUGAGAGGUUGAACGGCCACAUUGGGACUGAGACACGGCCCAG
This 234-nucleotide ribosomal RNA is filed under the name uncultured bacterium. RNAcentral's name for it is "partial 16S ribosomal RNA". It matches the Rfam family "Bacterial small subunit ribosomal RNA", at positions 103 to 334 of the family's 1533-position model. The record is from RNAcentral.